Molecule: transfer RNA, 72 nt
Filed under: Camelus bactrianus (Bactrian camel)
Lineage: Eukaryota; Metazoa; Chordata; Mammalia; Artiodactyla; Camelidae
Also listed under: 2 other names
Rfam family: tRNA
About the family: Transfer RNA (tRNA) molecules are approximately 80 nucleotides in length. Their secondary structure includes four short double-helical elements and three loops (D, anti-codon, and T loops).
Source: Rfam by way of RNAcentral
GGGUAUAUAGCUCAGUAGUAGAGUGCGUGCGUAGUACACACAAGGUCCUGGGUUCAACCCCCAGUACCUCCA